GAUGAACGCUGGCGGCGUGCCUAAUACAUGCAAGUCGAGCGAACAGACGAGGAGCUUGUUCCUCUGACGUUAGCGGCGGACGGGUGAGUAACACGUGGAUAACCUACCUAUAAGACUGGGAUAACUUCGGGAAACCGGAGCUAAUACCGCAUAAUAUAUUUAACCGCAUGGUUCAAUAGUGAAAGACGGUUUUGCUGUAACUUAUAGAUGGAUCCGCGUCGCAUUAGCUAGUUGGUAAGGUAACGGCUUACCAAGGCAAGGUUGCGUAGCCGACCUGAGAGGGUGAUCGCCCACACUGGAACUGAGACACGGUCCAGACUCCUACGGGAGGCAGCAGUAGGGAAUCUUCCGCAAUGGGCGAAAGCCUGACGGAGCAACGCCGCGUGAGUGAUGAAGGUCUUCGGAUCGUAAAACUCUGUUAUUAGGGAAGAACAAAGGUGGAAGUAACUAUGCACGUCUUGACGGUACCUAAUCAGAAAGCCACGGCUAACUACGUG
RNAcentral lists this ribosomal RNA (497 nucleotides) under uncultured bacterium. Its description in RNAcentral is "partial 16S ribosomal RNA". It matches the Rfam family "Bacterial small subunit ribosomal RNA", at positions 28 to 507 of the family's 1533-position model. The record is from RNAcentral.